GUUAAUGUAGCUUAAACUCAAAGCAAGGCGCUGAAAAUGCCUAGAUGAGUACAUCUACUCCAUAAACA
This 68-nucleotide transfer RNA is filed under the name Oreamnos americanus (mountain goat). RNAcentral's name for it is "tRNA-Phe". It matches the Rfam family "tRNA". Rfam says of the family: Transfer RNA (tRNA) molecules are approximately 80 nucleotides in length. The record is from RNAcentral. Lineage: Eukaryota; Metazoa; Chordata; Mammalia; Artiodactyla; Bovidae.